This 301-nucleotide ribosomal RNA is filed under the name uncultured Pediococcus sp. RNAcentral describes it as "bacterial SSU rRNA". It matches the Rfam family "Bacterial small subunit ribosomal RNA", at positions 496 to 795 of the family's 1533-position model. The record is from RNAcentral. Lineage: Bacteria; Bacillati; Bacillota; Bacilli; Lactobacillales; Lactobacillaceae.
CCUAACUGCGGGUCGGCAGCCGCGUUGACACUAGGGUGGGAAGCCUUGUCCGGAUUUAUUGGGCGUAAAGGGCGCGUAGGCGGUACUACCAGUCGGGUUGUAAACCUCCAGGCUCAACCUGGAGUCGCCGCUCGAAACUGUUGGGACUAGAGUCCGGUAGGGGAGCAUGGAAUUUGUGGUGUAGCGGUGGAAUGCGCAGAUAUCACAAGGAACACCAGUAGCGAAGGCGAUGCUCUGGGCCGGUACUGACGCUGAGGAGCGAAAGCAUGGGGAGCGAACAGGAUUAGAUACCCCAGUAGUC